Non-coding RNA from Drosophila persimilis, 341 nucleotides. Lineage: Eukaryota; Metazoa; Arthropoda; Insecta; Diptera; Drosophilidae. The record is from Rfam.
UCAGUUACAAACUAGCAUCUGGGGCACACACAACGAGUAUCUGAUUACUCUUACUUUGCCCCGGGAAGGUCUGAGAUUUGGCCAAGCCUCCUUGUGUUGUUACAACAUGCAGUGCAUCGAGAGGUGCCUGUGUGUCGGAGGCUUAAUUUCCUAGCAGGAAACCUGUGUGAUUGCAGGACGAAAGUACCAGAAAUACUGCGGCUUGGCGUUGCCAUCGGCGCUCGCGUCUGACUGCCGCCUUGUUGCAUUGAAAACUUUCGUGGCCGGCUGUUUUAGUGCAAUGUGCUUGCUGCAAAGCCUCCGGGCAACGCAGAACUCAAUUCAGACUAAUCUGUGACUGA